UNGUUGUUACCAGGCUUUUAGAAUUCAAUUUCUCAUUUGCUCUUGACAUAAGGAAACCAUCCCCUUAGGGUUUUCCAUAUACUACUUUGUUAGUAGGCAGCUUGUUGGGAACAUUU
Molecule: small nucleolar RNA, 116 nt
Filed under: Neotoma lepida (desert woodrat)
Lineage: Eukaryota; Metazoa; Chordata; Mammalia; Rodentia; Cricetidae
Description: Small nucleolar RNA SNORA32
Rfam family: Small nucleolar RNA SNORA32
About the family: ACA32 is a member of the H/ACA class of snoRNA that guide the sites of modification of uridines to pseudouridines.
Source: Rfam by way of RNAcentral